GGCGUGCUUAACACAUGCAAGUCGAGCGAAGCACUCUGCUUUGACUCUUUCCGGGAUGAAGAAGCAUUGUGACUGAGCGGCGGACGGGUGAGUAACGCGUGGGUAACCUGCCUCAUACAGGGGGAUAACAGUUAGAAAAUGGCUGCUAAUACCGCAUAAGACCACAGCACCGCAUGGUGCAGGGGUAAAAACUCCGGUGGUAUGAGAUGGACCCGCGUCUGAUUAGCUAGUUGGUGGGGUAACGGCCUACCAAGGCGACGAUCAGUAGCCGACCUGAGAGGGUGACCGGCCACAUUGGGACUGAGACACGGCCCAAACUCCUACGGGAGGCAGCAGUGGGGAAUAUUGCACAAUGGGGGAAACCCUGAUGCAGCGACGCCGCGUGAGCGAAGAAGUAUUUCGGUAUGUAAAGCUCUAUCAGCAGGGAAGAAAAUGACGGUACCUGACUAGGAAGCCCCGGCUAACUACGUGCCAGCAGCCGCGGUAAUACGUAGGGGGCAAGCGUUAUCCGGAUUUACUGGGUGUAAAGGGAGCGUAGACGGCGAGGCAAGUCUGAUGUGAAAACCCGGGGCUCAGCCCCGUGACUGCAUUGGAAACUGUUUUGCUUGAGUGCCGGAGAGGUAAGCGGAAUUCCUAGUGUAGCGGUGAAAUGCGUAGAUAUUAGGAGGAACACCAGUGGCGAAGGCGGCUUACUGGACGGCAACUGACG
RNAcentral lists this ribosomal RNA (709 nucleotides) under uncultured Lachnospiraceae bacterium. Its description in RNAcentral is "bacterial SSU rRNA". It matches the Rfam family "Bacterial small subunit ribosomal RNA", at positions 41 to 745 of the family's 1533-position model. Lineage: Bacteria; Bacillati; Bacillota; Clostridia; Lachnospirales; Lachnospiraceae. The record is from RNAcentral.